AUACGGAGGAUCCGAGCGUUAUCCGGAUUUAUUGGGUUUAAAGGGUGCGCAGGCGGCCAUUUAAGUCAGCGGUUAAAUCGUGGGGCUCAACCCCAUUCUGCCGUUGAUACUGGGUGGCUUGAUUGCGGUCGAGGUUGGCGGAAUUCGUUGUGUAGCGGUGAAAUGCAUAGAUAUGACGAAGAACACCGAUUGCGUAGGCAGCUGACCAGAUCGCAAAUGACGCUCAUGCACGAAAGUGCGGGGAUCGAACAGGAUUAGAUACCCUGGUAGUCCGCACAGUAAACGAUGAAUACUUGUUUUCGGCGAUAUAAUGUCGGAGGCAAAGCGAAAGCGAUAAGUAUUCCACCUGGGGAGUACGCCGGCAACAGUGAAACUCAAAUGAAUUGACGGGG
This 392-nucleotide ribosomal RNA is filed under the name uncultured bacterium. Its description in RNAcentral is "partial 16S ribosomal RNA". It matches the Rfam family "Bacterial small subunit ribosomal RNA", at positions 523 to 918 of the family's 1533-position model. The record is from RNAcentral.